CAGCAGUAGCCGCGGGAAUACGGAGGGUGCAAGCGUUAAUCGGAAUUACUGGGCGUAAAGCGCACGCAGGCGGUCUGACAAGUCAGAUGUGAAAUCCCCGGGCUUAACCUGGGAACUGCAUUUGAAACUGUCAGGCUGGAGUCUUGUAGAGGGGGGUAGAAUUCCAGGUGUAGCGGUGAAAUGCGUAGAGAUCUGGAGGAAUACCGAUGGCGAAGGCAGCCAUCUGGCCUAAUACUGACGCUGAGGUACGAAAGCAUGGGGAGCAAACAGGAUUAGAUACCCGUGUAGUCCCUGUCUCUUAUAC
RNAcentral lists this ribosomal RNA (304 nucleotides) under uncultured bacterium. RNAcentral describes it as "partial 16S ribosomal RNA". It matches the Rfam family "Bacterial small subunit ribosomal RNA", at positions 506 to 807 of the family's 1533-position model. The record is from RNAcentral.